AGAGUUUGAUCAUGGCUCAGAUUGAACGCUGGCGGCAGGCCUAACACAUGCAAGUCGAACGGUAACAGGAAGCAGCUUGCUGCUUCGCUGACGAGUGGCGGACGGGUGAGUAAUGUCUGGGAAACUGCCUGAUGGAGGGGGAUAACUACUGGAAACGGUAGCUAAUACCGCAUAACGUCGCAAGACCAAAGAGGGGGACCUUCGGGCCUCUUGCCAUCGGAUGUGCCCAGAUGGGAUUAGCUUGUUGGUGGGGUAACGGCUCACCAAGGCGACGAUCCCUAGCUGGUCUGAGAGGAUGACCAGCCACACUGGAACUGAGACACGGUCCAGACUCCUACGGGAGGCAGCAGUGGGGAAUAUUGCACAAUGGGCGCAAGCCUGAUGCAGCCAUGCCGCGUGUAUGAAGAAGGCCUUCGGGUUGUAAAGUACUUUCAGCGGGGAGGAAGGGAGUAAAGUUAAUACCUUUGCUCAUUGACGUUACCCGCAGAAGAAGCACCGGCUAACUCCGUGCCAGCAGCCGCGGUAAUACGGAGGGUGCAAGCGUUAAUCGGAAUUACUGGGCGUAAAGCGCACGCAGGCGGUUUGUUAAGUCAGAUGUGAAAUCCCCGGGCUCAACCUGGGAACUGCAUCUGAUACUGGCAAGCUUGAGUCUCGUAGAGGGGGGUAGAAUUCCAGGUGUAGCGGUGAAAUGCGUAGAGAUCUGGAGGAAUACCGGUGGCGAAGGCGGCCCCCUGGACGAAGACUGACGCUCAGGUGCGAAAGCGUGGGGAGCAAACAGGAUUAGAUACCCUGGUAGUCCACGCCGUAAACGAUGUCGACUUGGAGGUUGUGCCCUUGAGGCGUGGCUUCCGGAGCUAACGCGUUAAGUCGACCGCCUGGGGAGUACGGCCGCAAGGUUAAAACUCAAAUGAAUUGACGGGGGCCCGCACAAGCGGUGGAGCAUGUGGUUUAAUUCGAUGCAACGCGAAGAACCUUACCUGGUCUUGACAUCCACGGAAGUUUUCAGAGAUGAGAAUGUGCCUUCGGGAACCGUGAGACAGGUGCUGCAUGGCUGUCGUCAGCUCGUGUUGUGAAAUGUUGGGUUAAGUCCCGCAACGAGCGCAACCCUUAUCCUUUGUUGCCAGCGGUCCGGCCGGGAACUCAAAGGAGACUGCCAGUGAUAAACUGGAGGAAGGUGGGGAUGACGUCAAGUCAUCAUGGCCCUUACGACCAGGGCUACACACGUGCUACAAUGGCGCAUACAAAGAGAAGCGACCUCGCGAGAGCAAGCGGACCUCAUAAAGUGCGUCGUAGUCCGGAUUGGAGUCUGCAACUCGACUCCAUGAAGUCGGAAUCGCUAGUAAUCGUGGAUCAGAAUGCCACGGUGAAUACGUUCCCGGGCCUUGUACACACCGCCCGUCACACCAUGGGAGUGGGUUGCAAAAGAAGUAGGUAGCUUAACCUUCGGGAGGGCGCUUACCACUUUGUGAUUCAUGACUGGGGUGAAGUCGUAACAAGGUAACCGUAGGGGAACCUGCGGUUGGAUCACCU
RNAcentral lists this ribosomal RNA (1530 nucleotides) under Escherichia coli. RNAcentral's name for it is "bacterial SSU rRNA". It matches the Rfam family "Bacterial small subunit ribosomal RNA". RNAcentral also lists the same sequence under 40 other names. Lineage: Bacteria; Pseudomonadati; Pseudomonadota; Gammaproteobacteria; Enterobacterales; Enterobacteriaceae. The record is from RNAcentral.